GUAGGGAAUAUUGGGCAAUGGAUGCAAGUCUGACCCAGCCAUGCCGCGUGCAGGAAGAAGGUCCUCUGGAUUGUAAACUGCUUUUUUGGGGGAAGAAUAGUUUUCUUGCGAGGAAAUGUGACGGUACCCUAAGAAUAAGCCACGGCUAACUACGUGCCAGCAGCCGCGGUAAUACGUAGGUGGCAAGCGUUGUCCGGAUUUAUGGGGUUUAAAGGGUGCGUAGGUGGUUUGAUAAGUCAGUGGUGAAAGCCGGUUGGUCCACAAUCGAGUUGCCAUUGAUACUUUCGGAGUUGAUAGAAGUGGAGGUUGAUGGAAUGGAUGGUGUAGCGGUGAAAUGCAUAGAUAUCAUCCAGAACGUCGAUUGCGAAGGCAGUGGGCUGUACUUUAUCUGACACUGAGGCACGAAAGUGUUGGGAUCAAACAGGAUUAGAAACCCGGGUAGUCC
Molecule: ribosomal RNA, 445 nt
Filed under: uncultured bacterium
Lineage: Bacteria
Description: partial 16S ribosomal RNA
Rfam family: Bacterial small subunit ribosomal RNA
Source: RNAcentral